RNAcentral lists this ribosomal RNA (595 nucleotides) under uncultured bacterium. Its description in RNAcentral is "partial 16S ribosomal RNA". It matches the Rfam family "Bacterial small subunit ribosomal RNA", at positions 355 to 1375 of the family's 1533-position model. The record is from RNAcentral.
UGGGGAAUUUUGGACAAUGGGCGAAAGCCUGAUCCAGCAAUGCCGCGUGUGUGAAGAAGGCCUUCGGGUUGUAAAGCACUUUUGUCCGGAAAGAAAUCCUUGGCUCUAAUACAGUCGGGGGAUGACGGUACCGGAAGAAUAAGCACCGGCUAACUACGUGCCAGCAGCCGCAGGUAAUACGGUAGGGUGCAAUGACGUUAAUCGGAAUUACUGGGCGUAAAGCGUGCGCAGGCGGUUUGCUAAGACCGAUGUGAAAUCCCCGGGCUCAACCUGGGAACUGCAUUGGUGACUGGCAGGCUAGAGUAUGGCAGAGGGGGGUAGAAUUCCACGUGUAGCAGUGAAAUGCGUAGAGAUGUGGAGGAAUACCGAUGGCGAAGGCAGCCCCCUGGGCCAAAUACUGACGCUCAUGCACGAAAAGCGUGGGGAGCAAAACAGGAUUAGAUACCCUGGUAGUCCACGCCCUAAAACGAUGUCAACUAGUUGUUGGGGAUUCAUUUCCUUAGUAACGUAGCUAACGCGUGAAGUUGACCGCCUGGGGAGUACGGUCGCAAAGAUUAAAAACUCAAAUGAAUUGACGGGGUCAUAGCUGUUUCCU